This 64-nucleotide transfer RNA is filed under the name Dipodomys ordii (Ord's kangaroo rat). It matches the Rfam family "tRNA". Rfam says of the family: Transfer RNA (tRNA) molecules are approximately 80 nucleotides in length. Their secondary structure includes four short double-helical elements and three loops (D, anti-codon, and T loops). Lineage: Eukaryota; Metazoa; Chordata; Mammalia; Rodentia; Heteromyidae. The record is from Rfam by way of RNAcentral.
GGGAAGCUGGCUCAAUGGUAGAGUGCUUGCCUUGCAUGCAUGAGGCCCUGAAUUCGGUUCCCCA